GACGAACGCUGGCGGCGUGCUUAACACAUGCAAGUCGAACGGAAAGGCCCUGCUUUUGUGGGGUGCUCGAGUGGCGAACGGGUGAGUAACACGUGAGUAACCUGCCCCUGACUUUGGGAUAACUUCAGGAAACUGGGGCUAAUACCGGAUAGGAGCUCCUGCUGCAUGGUGGGGGUUGGAAAGUUUCGGCGGUUGGGGAUGGACUCGCGGCUUAUCAGCUUGUUGGUGGGGUAGUGGCUUACCAAGGCUUUGACGGGUAGCCGGCCUGAGAGGGUGACCGGCCACAUUGGGACUGAGAUACGGCCCAGACUCCUACGGGAGGCAGCAGUGGGGAAUAUUGCACAAUGGGCGGAAGCCUGAUGCAGCAACGCCGCGUGCGGGAUGACGGCCUUCGGGCUGUAAACCGCUUUCGCCUGUGACGAAGCGUGAGUGACGGUAAUGGGUAAAGAAGCACCGGCUAACUACGUG
Molecule: ribosomal RNA, 468 nt
Filed under: uncultured bacterium
Lineage: Bacteria
Description: partial 16S ribosomal RNA
Rfam family: Bacterial small subunit ribosomal RNA
Source: RNAcentral